GACGAACGCUGGCGGCGUGCUUAACACAUGCAAGUCGAACGGAAAGGCCCUGCUUUUGUGGGGUGCUCGAGUGGCGAACGGGUGAGUAACACGUGAGUAACCUGCCCUUGACUUUGGGAUAACUUCAGGAAACUGGGGCUAAUACCGGAUAGGAGCUCCUGCUGCAUGGUGGGGGUUGGAAAGUUUCGGCGGGUGGGGAUGGACUCGCGGCUUAUCAGCUUGUUGGUGGGGUAGUGGCUUACCAAGGCUUUGACGGGUAGCCGGCCUGAGAGGGUGAACGGCCACAUGGGGACUGAGAUACGGCCCAGACUCCUACGGGAGGCAGCAGUGGGGAAUAUGGCACAGUGGGCGGAAGCCUGAUGCAGCAACGCCGCGUGCGGGAUGACGGCCUUCGGGUUGUAAACCGCUUUCGCCUGUGACGAAGCGUGAGUGACGGUAAUGGGUAAAGAAGCACCGGCUAACUACGUG
Molecule: ribosomal RNA, 468 nt
Filed under: uncultured bacterium
Lineage: Bacteria
Description: partial 16S ribosomal RNA
Rfam family: Bacterial small subunit ribosomal RNA
Source: RNAcentral